Molecule: ribosomal RNA, 625 nt
Filed under: Elphidium williamsoni
Lineage: Eukaryota; Foraminifera; Rotaliida; Elphidiidae
Description: SSU rRNA
Rfam family: Bacterial small subunit ribosomal RNA
Source: RNAcentral
CAAGUGUUAUCCGGAAUCACUGGGCGUAAAGCGUCUGUAGGUGGUUUAGUAAGUCAACUGUUAAAUCUUGAAGCUCAACUUCAAAAUCGCAGUCGAAACUAUUAGACUAGAGUAUAGUAGGGGUAAAGGGAAUUUCCAGUGGAGCGGUGGAAUGCGUAGAGAUUGGAAGGAACACCGAUGGCGAAGGCACUUUACUGGGCUAUUACUGACACUCAGAGACGAAAGCUAGGGUAGCAAAUGGGAUUAGAUACCCCAGUAGUCCUAGCUGUAAACAAUGGAUACUAGAUGUUGGGCAGAUCGACCUGUUCAGUAUUAAAGCUAACGCGUUAAGUAUCCCGCCUGGGAAGUAUGCGCGCAAGCGUGAAACUCAAAGGAAUUGACGGGGGCCCGCACAAGCGGUGGAGCAUGUGGUUUAAUUCGAUGCAACGCGAAGAACCUUACCAGGGUUUGACAUGAUACGAAUUUUCUUGAAAGAGAAAAGUGCCGUUUGGAACGUAUACACAGGUGGUGCGUGGCUGUCGUCAGCUCGUGUCGUGAGAUGUUGGGUUAAGUCCCGCAACGAGCGCAACCCUUAUUUUUAGUUGCCUUUUAUGGAACUCUAGAAAGACUGCUGGUUAUAAACCGG